Molecule: transfer RNA, 71 nt
Filed under: Verasper variegatus (spotted halibut)
Lineage: Eukaryota; Metazoa; Chordata; Actinopteri; Pleuronectiformes; Pleuronectidae
Also listed under: 1 other name
Description: tRNA-Gln
Rfam family: tRNA
About the family: Transfer RNA (tRNA) molecules are approximately 80 nucleotides in length. Their secondary structure includes four short double-helical elements and three loops (D, anti-codon, and T loops).
Source: RNAcentral
UAGGAAGUGGUGUAGAGGAAGCACGAAGAGUUUUGAGUUCUUCAGGUUGGGUUCGAUCCCCUUCUUUCUAG